GGAAAAGUGGCUCAGUGGUAGAGUGCUUGCCUUGAAGGCAUGAAGCCCUGGGUUCAAUUCCUCAGCACCA
Molecule: transfer RNA, 70 nt
Filed under: Dipodomys ordii (Ord's kangaroo rat)
Lineage: Eukaryota; Metazoa; Chordata; Mammalia; Rodentia; Heteromyidae
Rfam family: tRNA
About the family: Transfer RNA (tRNA) molecules are approximately 80 nucleotides in length. Their secondary structure includes four short double-helical elements and three loops (D, anti-codon, and T loops).
Source: Rfam by way of RNAcentral